RNAcentral lists this transfer RNA (71 nucleotides) under Patulibacter sp. RNAcentral describes it as "tRNA-Cys". It matches the Rfam family "tRNA". Rfam says of the family: Transfer RNA (tRNA) molecules are approximately 80 nucleotides in length. The record is from RNAcentral. RNAcentral also lists the same sequence under 1 other name. Lineage: Bacteria; Bacillati; Actinomycetota; Thermoleophilia; Solirubrobacterales; Patulibacteraceae.
GGCACCGUGGCGGAGUGGUUACGCAGCGGCCUGCAAAGCCGUGUACACCGGUUCGAUUCCGGUCGGUGCCU